This 782-nucleotide ribosomal RNA is filed under the name uncultured Actinomycetes bacterium. Its description in RNAcentral is "bacterial SSU rRNA". It matches the Rfam family "Bacterial small subunit ribosomal RNA", at positions 28 to 826 of the family's 1533-position model. The record is from RNAcentral. Lineage: Bacteria; Bacillati; Actinomycetota; Actinomycetes.
GACGAACGCUGGCGGCGUGCUUAACACAUGCAAGUCGAGCGGUAGGCCCUUUCGGGGGUACACGAGCGGCGAACGGGUGAGUAACACGUGAGUAACCUACCCUCAACUUUGGGAUAAGCCUCGGAAACGGGGUCUAAUACCGGAUAUGACCGAGGAUUUCAUGGUUCUUGGUUGAAAGUUCUGGCGGUUGGGGAUGGGCUCGCGGCCUAUCAGCUUGUUGGUGGGGUAAUGGCCUACCAAGGCUUCGACGGGUAGCCGGCCUGAGAGGGCGACCGGCCACACUGGGACUGAGACACGGCCCAGACUCCUACGGGAGGCAGCAGUGGGGAAUAUUGCGCAAUGGACGAAAGUCUGACGCAGCAACGCCGCGUGAGGGAUGACGGCCUUCGGGUUGUAAACCUCUUUCAGCAGGGACGAAGCGAGAGUGACGGUACCUGCAGAAGAAGGACCGGCCAACUACGUGCCGGCAGCCGCGGUAAUACGUAGGGUCCGAGCGUUGUCCGGAAUUAUUGGGCGUAAAGGGCUCGUAGGCGGUUCGCCACGUCGGGAGUGAAAACUCGGAGCUUAACUCCGAGCCUGCUUCCGAUACGGGCAGACUAGAGGUAGGCAGGGGAGAGCGGAACUCCUGGUGUAGCGGUGGAAUGCGCAGAUAUCAGGAAGAACACCGGUGGCGAAGGCGGCUCUCUGGGCCUUACCUGACGCUGAGGAGCGAAAGCGUGGGUAGCGAACAGGAUUAGAUACCCUGGUAGUCCACGCCGUAAACGUUGGGCGCUAGGUGUGGG